GAUGAACGCUGGCGGCGUGCCUAAUACAUGCAAGUCGAGCGAACGGACGAGAAGCUUGCUUCUCUGAUGUUAGCGGCGGACGGGUGAGUAACACGUGGAUAACCUACCUAUAAGACUGGGAUAACUUCGGGAAACCGGAGCUAAUACCGGAUGAUAUUUUGAACCGCAUGGUUCAAAAGUGAAAGACGGUCUUGCUGUCACUUAUAGAUGGAUCCGCGCUGCAUUAGCUAGUUGGUAAGGUAACGGCUUACCAAGGCAACGAUGCAUAGCCGACCUGAGAGGGUGAUCGGCCACACUGGAACUGAGACACGGUCCAGACUCCGACGGGAGGCAGCAGUAGGGAAUCUUCCGCAAAGGGCGAAAGCCUGACGGAGCAACGCCGCGUGAGUGAUGAAGGUCUUCGGAUCGUAAAACUCUGUUAUUAGGGAAGAACAUAUGUGUAAGUAACUGUGCACAUCUUGACGGUACCUAAUCAGAAAGCCACGGCUAACUACGUG
This 497-nucleotide ribosomal RNA is filed under the name uncultured bacterium. Its description in RNAcentral is "partial 16S ribosomal RNA". It matches the Rfam family "Bacterial small subunit ribosomal RNA", at positions 28 to 507 of the family's 1533-position model. The record is from RNAcentral.